MicroRNA precursor from Oryza rufipogon (brownbeard rice), 198 nucleotides. It matches the Rfam family "MIR812 microRNA precursor family". The record is from Rfam. NCBI's taxonomy places the organism in Eukaryota, Viridiplantae, Streptophyta, Magnoliopsida, Poales, Poaceae.
UUUAAGAGUAGUUGUUGGUUUUCAUGUCUAACGUUAAAUCGUAUGUCUUAAUAUUUUAUGGCUAGUAUAUUUAUUGUUAUUAGAUGAUAAAAUAUAAAUAAUAGUUUAUGCGUGACUUAUUUUAUUAGUUUUUUAUGAUUUUUUUAAAUAAGAUGAACGAUCAAAUAUUGGAUACAGAAAUCCACGACAACGUUUAAA